UGCAUAUCAAUAAGCGGAGGAAAAGAAACCAACAGGGAUUGCCUCAGUAGCGGCGAGUGAAGCGGCAAAAGCUCAAAUUUGAAAUCUGGCGUCUUUGGCGUCCGAGUUGUAAUUUGAAGAAGGUAUCUUUGGGCCCGGCUCUUGUCUAUGUUCCUUGGAACAGGACGUCACAGAGGGUGAGAAUCCCGUGCGAUGAGAUGACCCGGGUCUGUGUAAAGUUCCUUCGACGAGUCGAGUUGUUUGGGAAUGCAGCUCUAAGUGGGUGGUAAAUUCCAUCUAAAGCUAAAUAUUGGCGAGAGACCGAUAGCGAACAAGUACAGUGAUGGAAAGAUGAAAAGAACUUUGAAAAGAGAGUGAAAAAGUACGUGAAAUUGUUGAAAGGGAAGGGCUUGAGAUCAGACUUGGUAUUUUGCAUGCUGCUCUCUCGGGGGCGGCCGCUGCGGUUUACCGGGCCAGCAUCGGUUUGGAGCGGCAGGAUAAUGGCGGAGGAAUGUGGCACGGCUUCUGCUGUGUGUUAUAGCCUCUGACGAUACUGCCAGCCUAGACCGAGGACUGCGGUUUUUAACCUAGGAUGUUGGCAUAAUGAUCUUAAGUCGCCCGUCUUGAAACACGG
RNAcentral lists this ribosomal RNA (613 nucleotides) under Candida albicans. RNAcentral describes it as "eukaryotic LSU rRNA". It matches the Rfam family "Eukaryotic large subunit ribosomal RNA", at positions 37 to 664 of the family's 3401-position model. The record is from RNAcentral. Lineage: Eukaryota; Fungi; Ascomycota; Pichiomycetes; Serinales; Debaryomycetaceae.